Melospiza melodia melodia is the source of this 83-nucleotide small nucleolar RNA. RefSeq annotates it as small nucleolar RNA SNORD121A. Lineage: Eukaryota; Metazoa; Chordata; Aves; Passeriformes; Passerellidae. The record is from RefSeq and is a predicted model, not a curated record. The transcript has a single exon.
GUUCAAAAUACAGUGAUGUCUUUUCCAAGCACAUAUCUAAUUGUUCUGUGUAGAAAAUGACUCUCACUAUGUGAUUUUUGGAU